This is a non-coding RNA of Biomphalaria pfeifferi, 486 nucleotides long. The record is from the annotation of a GenBank genome assembly. Lineage: Eukaryota; Metazoa; Mollusca; Gastropoda; Planorbidae.
UAUAUCAAGUGACAAUAUGUAAUAACAAUUAUGUAUGAAAGAUUCUUGAUGCAGAAAAAAAGUCUAUAUUCUUAUACAUAUAUACAGAUUUAAAGAAACAUAAAAACACUUUUUUUUAAAUCUUUGGCUUUAAUACAAUAAUAUUUUUAUAAGAAUACUGUAAAAGGUAUAACAGAGCAUUUAGUAGUAUUAUACAUGAAAAAAAAUAUUGCAGCAAAAGAAAAUAUCAUGAAAUGAGAGUGAGUUAAAUCAGUAAUGUGGUACACGACACGAGAAUGGCCCGACGGUUAAAUUAGGUUUUAGCAUCACUUAGAUAGAGGAUGAGCUAGAGUAGUGGAUAUAUAACCCACGAGAUAGAGUAGUGGAUAAAUAAUCCAUAAGAUAGAGUAGUGGAUACAUAACCCAUGAGAUAGAGUAGUUGAUGUAUAACCCAUGAGAUAGAGUAGUGGAUAAUUAGCUCAUAAGAUAGAGUAGUGGAUAUAUAAC